This 303-nucleotide ribosomal RNA is filed under the name uncultured bacterium. RNAcentral describes it as "partial 16S ribosomal RNA". It matches the Rfam family "Bacterial small subunit ribosomal RNA", at positions 507 to 807 of the family's 1533-position model. The record is from RNAcentral.
AGCAGUCGCCGCGGUAAUACGAAGGGGGCUAGCGUUGCUCGGAAUGACUGGGCGUAAAGGGCGCGUAGGCGGAUUGCGCAGUCAGAUGUGAAAUUCCUGGGCUUAACCUGGGGGCUGCAUUUGAGACGCGUAGUCUAGAGUGUGAAAGAGGGUCGUGGAAUUCCCAGUGUAGAGGUGAAAUUCGUAGAUAUUGGGAAGAACACCGGUGGCGAAGGCGGCGACCUGGUUCAUAACUGACGCUGAGGCGCGAAAGCGUGGGGAGCAAACAGGAUUAGAUACCCCUGUAGACCCUGUCUCUUAUAC